Molecule: transfer RNA, 89 nt
Filed under: Streptomyces pluripotens
Lineage: Bacteria; Bacillati; Actinomycetota; Actinomycetes; Kitasatosporales; Streptomycetaceae
Also listed under: 1 other name
Description: tRNA-Ser
Rfam family: tRNA (bases 9-78)
About the family: Transfer RNA (tRNA) molecules are approximately 80 nucleotides in length. Their secondary structure includes four short double-helical elements and three loops (D, anti-codon, and T loops).
Source: RNAcentral
GGACCGUGUGCCCGAGUGGUUGAGGGGCUCGCUUGGAAAGCGUGUCGGGCGGCAACCCCUCGCGAGUUCGAAUCUCGUAUCCUCCGCCA